Long non-coding RNA from Saccostrea cuccullata (small rock oyster), 2141 nucleotides. RefSeq lists it as uncharacterized. Lineage: Eukaryota; Metazoa; Mollusca; Bivalvia; Ostreida; Ostreidae. The transcript is spliced from 7 exons. The record is from RefSeq and is a predicted model, not a curated record.
AUUAUGAUAAAAAUAUUCAAUUUACUAUUUCUUAAGGUGUUGAAUGGAUUUUGUUUUCUCAACAGCGGCUGGUGCACGUACCAUACUUUUACUCGUAAACUCAAUUUGGCGGUGAAGAAGCAGCAUUUUCUGUUGCUCACCGUCGCAAUAGCUGAGCAUUGCUCUACGAGCAAUGUGCCCGGCUAAAAAUCAUAAUAUUUGUAAUGAUAUAUCAUAUUCUAGACUUGACAUACAAUAAACAAUGAUAAGAAUUAUUGUCGCAUAUCUGCAGUGAUUUUCUUUGAUCUUUCUGUGGUGAUAAUUUAUCCCAUAUCACAUGUGUGAUAAUACUUUCCAAACAUGUUUCAAAGUUUUUACACUCUUUAUCAUACAGUUUUAAAGAACAGUUUUAUGAGCUCAUAAGUAUAUUAAAUGGUUAAUUUAUCAAAACCUGCAUUUAAAAAUUCAGAAGUCUUAAGUUAAACCAAAUUGUCCAGGGUAUUCUUAGUAAGGUAUGUCAAAGGUCAUGGUUAAGUGACUUUGUAAGGCUGGUAUUUUUUCUUUAGUUUUAUGGCAAUCAGUGCACAUGGUAAAUAGCAUAAAAUUACCCUUAAAGGUCUUAUGCAAGGAGAUAGCUAAUUAAAAUGAACAAAUGUAGUUCUAUGUAUGAUGUAUAUAGAGACAAUAAUAUUUCUUUUCUUUUUUCAUUUUCAGGAACUUUACGUAGGUCUACAGUUUUAAUUUUGGACUCAUGCACUAGGAAUAUCAUAUCAGCAGAACUGUGCCACUGAAUCAAAGGGAACUCUUUUUUUUUAGGUACGCAUGAUCGAUGUAACUUCCUCGAUGGUGUGUUGGCUGUUUGCCCAUGUGUAUUUCGGGGUAUAGGAGUAGCCUCCCCUUUUAAAGAUCCAAAAUGGUGAUUUUACAGUGCGGCAUGCAGUCUGGUCAUCAACGAAGAGUUUUGACACCUGUAAUACCCAUAUUUCUACCAUUCACCUCUGUAACCUUUGUUGAGUUCAUCAGACUGUCCAAGACAGGAAGUUGAGGAAUAAAGUUGACAGGACAUCCUGAACUGUCCUCGCUACCAGCUUAUCAGGGAACCAGCUGCAGUGGACAAAGUACGUUACAUCAUAGGAUAAUAGCAUUGAAUUGGAUUCUUGAACCAGAGCCAUGUGAACCUGGUCCACCUGUACCUCUCAUUGAAGACCUGUUAACAUCACCAGAGUAUGUUCAUUCUGAUACCCCUAUGGUAUGGUUACAGCAUGCAUUAUCCCUGAAUCCAUUAAAAGAGCUGCAUUGGCAACGAAACAACCCAAUGUGGUCGAUUGUAAGGAAAUAUAGCAUAUCAGCUUCCAACUUUGGUGCAGUUCUCAGUUCUAAGCAAAGGCGAUUGACAUUGUCACUGAAGAAACAGCUGAUGUCGGCUUACAAUCUGGAGUCCAUCAAGGCUGUUGCAUGGGGUAUCACUCAUGAAGAUGAUGCUUUGAGAAAGUAUGAAAAAGGACUUUGAUGCAGCUGUAGAGCAGUCAGGAUAUGGUUGCAUGAAUCUGGAGUGUUGGGAGCUUCACCUGAUGGCUUAGUUGUUCGACCACCAACAUGCAGUGUAUUUUAUCAAAAUCCAGAAGCCAAAGACGCCAUUCCUGAUAUUGUAGAGGUGAAGUGUCCAUACACAGCAUCGUCUUCAACAGUAGCAGAUGGGGCACAAAAUUUGAAGGAUUUUUCAUAGAUCUUAAACAAGAUACCCUGUGCCUGAAAACCAGUCACCCAUACUAUCAUCAAAUUCAAGGCCAGCUACACAUAUGUAACAAAACAUUCUGCGACUUAAUUAUGUGGACAAGAGUAGACUGCAUUGUGAUUAGAAUAGUAAAAGACAUUGAAUGGACAGCAAAUGUUCCAAAGCUGAUAGAUUUCUACAUUAACAUUUUCAUUCCAGCACUGAUGGAAAACUGAGUUCUAGUUUGAACUUCUUGACACUUAGUUUUGUACCUCUAGAAUUUUCUAACAAUGGAAAAUGGGUAAUCAUGUUAAAUGUGUUGAAUGUUCCUAAGUCUCAUAAAUGUAUGAUAUGAUAUGUCAUAAUCCAUCAUAAAACUUCUGGCUUAUAAGACUAUUUUAAAUAGCAAUGAUGAUUAAUAAAAUCUAUGUACUACAUAAAAAAAGAA